AAGUCGUAACAAGGUUUCCGUAGGUGAACCUGCGGAAGGAUCAUUAACACGUUUCUAUCAUAAAACGUAACACAAACCGUGAACUAAGUUUUUCGACCCUGACUUUGCAAGUGAACUGACAUCUUCGUGAGAUAAUGAUGUGGACGAUCGUAAGAUUGUCAUCUCACCUAGUUAAAAGUUGUGUGGACGCAUUCGUGUGUCUGCACAGACAGUUGUGGUGCACUGACAGGACAACCCUCUUGCUUGUAACCUACCUCACAUUGUGUGGGUUCAAGUGAGAACAUUAUACACACAUUUCACCCUACUUUUUGCUAGUUGACUUUAUCUGUUACUAUUCUUUAUGGAUCGUAGCACGUUUAUUAAUUGAACGUUAAAAUGUACAACUCUUAGCAAUGGAUAUCUUGGUUCUC
Molecule: unclassified non-coding RNA, 410 nt
Filed under: fungal sp.
Lineage: Eukaryota; Fungi
Description: partial internal transcribed spacer region
Rfam family: Eukaryotic small subunit ribosomal RNA (bases 1-46)
Source: RNAcentral